This 443-nucleotide ribosomal RNA is filed under the name uncultured bacterium. Its description in RNAcentral is "partial 16S ribosomal RNA". It matches the Rfam family "Bacterial small subunit ribosomal RNA", at positions 48 to 523 of the family's 1533-position model. The record is from RNAcentral.
AAAAGAAGAUCAAGAAGAGCUUCAGAAUGAAGCUUUCUUGAUGGAGGGGAGCGGCAGACGGGUGAGUAACACGUGGGAACAUACCCAUCUCUGCGGAACAACUCCGGGAAACUGGAGCUAAUACCGCAUACGCCCUCCGGGGGAAAGAUUUAUCGGAGAUGGAUUGGCCCGCGUUGGAUUAGCUAGUUGGUGGGGUAAAGCCCUACCAGGGCGACGAUCCAUAGCUGGUCUGAGAGGAUGAUCAGCCACAUUGGGACUGAGACACGGCCCAAACUCCUACGGGAGGCAGCAGUGGGUAAUAUUGGACAAUGGGCGCAAGCCUGAUCCAGCCAUGCCGCGUGAGUGAUGAAGGCCUUAGGGUUGUAAAGCUCUUUCACCGAUGAAGAUAAUGACGGUAGUCGGAGAAGAAGCCCCGGCUAACUUCGUGCCAGCAGCCGCGGUAA